ACUCAACCCGCCAAAUGGACUCGGAGCGGCAAAAAAAUCCCCCAUUUUUCCACAGAUUUUGGCAAACAAGCAAGAAUGGAGACUCGGACAACCAGAAGAUAGAGAAGAUUGAUGAAAAAUGGUUCCUUAGUUCAGAAACAUAUCAUCCCAGACAUCGUAAACGCCCGUAGGCAACUAAAAACUAUUUCCAAAUCAGACCUGGUGAAGCAAGGCCAUCUCUACAUAUUGCACACCAAAAAUCAGAUAGUUGUGUUCAAUUAGAAGAUCAAGAUGUGUCUGGAGUUGUCAUUGGUGAAGUCCAAAGAAC
Molecule: long non-coding RNA, 307 nt
Organism: Cryptomeria japonica (Japanese cedar)
Lineage: Eukaryota; Viridiplantae; Streptophyta; Pinopsida; Cupressales; Cupressaceae
Exons: 3
Source: RefSeq, a predicted model, not a curated record